RNAcentral lists this ribosomal RNA (255 nucleotides) under uncultured bacterium. RNAcentral's name for it is "partial 16S ribosomal RNA". It matches the Rfam family "Bacterial small subunit ribosomal RNA", at positions 524 to 776 of the family's 1533-position model. The record is from RNAcentral.
UACAGAGGGGGCAAGCGUUGUUCGGAAUUACUGGGCGUAAAGGGCGCGUAGGCGGCCUGCUAAGUCGAACGUGAAAUCCCCGGGCUUAACCCGGGAACUGCGUCCGAUACUGGUGGACUUGAAUCCGGGAGAGGGAUGUGGAAUUCCAGGUGUAGCGGUGAAAUGCGUAGAGAUCGGGAGGAACACCCAGUGGGCGAAGGCGGCUACCUGGACCAGCACUGACACUGAGGCACGAAAGCGUGGGGAGCGAACAGG